This 471-nucleotide long non-coding RNA is filed under the name Chinchilla lanigera (long-tailed chinchilla). Its description in RNAcentral is "lncRNA (ENSCLAG00000023402.1)". Lineage: Eukaryota; Metazoa; Chordata; Mammalia; Rodentia; Chinchillidae. The record is from RNAcentral.
AGGGAGCUUUUGCUCUUUUGUUCUAGGACAGGCUAAAGGCUCGAGUGAAGACAGAACUUUCCUCUUGCUCUUUGCCAGUGUCCACGCACUCUCAUUCGGCUGGAGCCACCCAUCGGAUCAGGAAGAAGCUGCCCUGCGGCCCAGGCCAGGCCUGCUCUCCACCAGGGCAUCUCCAGUAUUUCCAUUUGGCUUCAGUGUUCUGAUUCUAAGCUGGCCCUGGCGGAUUUAGAAGAGCGCCUUGGAAACAUUUCUGUGUCUGCGGGACAAUCCGCCUGGGCACGGGGCUCUGGCAAAUCUCUUCUUAGCCUUCAAAUGCCAAGCGUGCACUGACUGUACAUAACAGAACAUGACAGCGAAAGCCAUAGACUUCUCACAAGUGAAGAGUCUGAGAACAUUUGGAAUGUUGACAGUCGUUCAUGGAUAUGUAAGUACAUCUCUGCAGUAGCACUUUUCCCGAUAGGUAUUAACCAU